RNAcentral lists this ribosomal RNA (256 nucleotides) under uncultured bacterium. Its description in RNAcentral is "partial 16S ribosomal RNA". It matches the Rfam family "Bacterial small subunit ribosomal RNA", at positions 524 to 776 of the family's 1533-position model. The record is from RNAcentral.
UACGGAGGGUGCGAGCGUUGUCCGGAAUCAUUGGGCGUAAAGGGCGCGUAGGUGGCCCGGUCAGUUCGUGGUGAAAGCGCGGGGCUCAACCCUGCGUCGGCCAUGAAUACUGCCGCGGCUGGAGCACUGUAGAGGCAGGCGGAAUUCCGGGUGUAGCGGUGGAAUGCGUAGAGAUCCGGAAGAACACCGGUGGCGAAGGCGGCCUGCUGGGCAGUUGCUGACACUGAGGCGCGGACAGCGUGGGGGAGCAAACAGG